RNAcentral lists this ribosomal RNA (253 nucleotides) under uncultured bacterium. RNAcentral's name for it is "partial 16S ribosomal RNA". It matches the Rfam family "Bacterial small subunit ribosomal RNA", at positions 524 to 776 of the family's 1533-position model. The record is from RNAcentral.
UACGGGGGGGCAAGCGUUGUUCGGAAUUACUGGGCGUAAAGGGCUCGGUAGGUGGCCAACUAAGUCAGACGUGAAAUCCCUCAGCUUAACUGGGGAACUGCGUCUGAUACUGGAUGGCUUGAGUUUGGGAGAGGGAUGCGGAAUUCCAGGUGUAGCGGUGAAAUGCGUAGAUAUCUGGAGGAACACCGGUGGCGAAGGCGGCAUCCUGGACCAACACUGACACUGAGGAGCGAAAGCCAGAGGAGCAAACGGG